RNAcentral lists this ribosomal RNA (496 nucleotides) under uncultured bacterium. RNAcentral describes it as "partial 16S ribosomal RNA". It matches the Rfam family "Bacterial small subunit ribosomal RNA", at positions 28 to 507 of the family's 1533-position model. The record is from RNAcentral.
GAUGAACGCUGGCGGCGUGCCUAAUACAUGCAAGUCGAGCGAACGGACGAGAAGCUUGCUUCUCUGAUGUUAGCGGCGGACGGGUGAGUAACACGUGGAUAACCUACCUAUAAGACUGGGAUAACUUCGUGAAACCGGAGCUAAUACCGGAUGAUAUUUUGAACCGCAUGGUUCAAAAGUGAAAGACGGUCUUGCUGUCACUUAUAGAUGGAUCCGCGCUGCAUUAGCUAGUUGGUAAGGUAACGGCUUACCAAGGCAAAGAUGCAUAGCCGACCUGAGAGGGGUAUCGGCCCAACGAGAACUGAGACACUGUCAGAGUCCGACAGGAGGCAGCAGUAGGGAAUCUACCGCUAUGGGCGAAAGCCUGACGGAGCAACGCCGCGUGAGUGAUGAAGGUCUUCGGAUCGUAAAACUCUGUUAUUAGGGAAGAACAUAUGUGUAAGUAACUGUGCACAUCUUGACGGUACCUAAUCAGAAAGCCACGGCUAACUACGUG